GUAACAAUUAAAAUUGCUCAAUUCACAUCUAUUUUACUUACAAUUAAUACUAACAGACUUCUGUUUGUUCUUGAAGCAAAUCAAUUUCAGAAGCACGUCAAUUUCUUUGGCACUUUUUCCUGGUAACUCAAUUUCUGCCAAUGACUUUUCUCUGAAUUCAGAAGAGAACAUUCUCUCAAAUACUGGGGACCACAUUGAUAAGGUGCUCCUGUGCACAUGGAAUCUGCGUCCCUCAACCAACAGCACCACAUCACUAAAGUGCCAUGGUGAUGAGAAGGGACUUGAUUCAGUUAGAUCGUCUUCAUCUGUUUUGGACAUCUUUGCAGCUGGUUCUUCAGUUGACAUGCUGCUUAUAUAAGCAAUAAACAAUGAGGUUAUUAAAAUUAUUGACCUUCUGWAUCAACCGUGAUAGACAAAGACAUCUCUGACCUUUGGCAAGCCAGUUUUCCCGCGCAAAUGUUGCGUGACAGAAUCACGCACACAGGAUUUCACAAUCAAGUCAAAGCCUUGGAUCAGCAGCAAGUUUGAAGUAAGUUUCCAGGUAACGCAACCUCUUAAUUGAUGUUUCRAUUGCUUUAUAUGGUUUACUAGUWGGCCAGGAUUUCUCUAGUUUUGACAGACAUUCUUUACAAUCAAGUACAAACGAGGACACUGGCUCAYUGGAAUGAUGACUUGAUUUGCAUCGGAAUUG
Exaiptasia diaphana is the source of this 691-nucleotide long non-coding RNA. RefSeq lists it as uncharacterized. The record is from RefSeq and is a predicted model, not a curated record. NCBI's taxonomy places the organism in Eukaryota, Metazoa, Cnidaria, Anthozoa, Actiniaria, Aiptasiidae. The transcript is spliced from 3 exons.